AUGGCGUUUGCUGGGACGCUGCAGCCCCAGCCCCAGCCGCCGCCGCCACCCCGCAGUGGCUGGCACCGGCUCCCACCGCGCCUUCAGCACCCACCGCCCCCAUCUAGCAACCGCCGCUGCUGCCGGCCCCUCCUCCACUCAGCACCGGGUCAGGGCCGACCACGCAGGGAGGCGUUCCGAUCCAGCAGGUUCGCUUCGGUCGGGGAACAACCGGCGCCCACCUUGCAGUUCGGCGAUCCAUCCGGCUCCGCGGGUCCUUCCGCAGGAUGCGCCGACCCCAUCGACUGGGCGCCACCCUCCUCGCUGCUCCGCGCCACCGAGCUGUACGGCCAGGGCGGUCAUAACCAGACGCCACCAUGCUUCGCUGGACUUCGCCACCUACAACGGGACUGA
RNAcentral lists this ribosomal RNA (393 nucleotides) under Triticum aestivum (bread wheat). Its description in RNAcentral is "partial small subunit ribosomal RNA". The record is from RNAcentral. Lineage: Eukaryota; Viridiplantae; Streptophyta; Magnoliopsida; Poales; Poaceae.